RNAcentral lists this long non-coding RNA (1346 nucleotides) under Hordeum vulgare. RNAcentral's name for it is "long non-coding RNA (HVUL_LNC011409)". Lineage: Eukaryota; Viridiplantae; Streptophyta; Magnoliopsida; Poales; Poaceae. The record is from RNAcentral.
UACACACAAUACUUCAAAUAACAACCAAAAUAAGUUAGUUACACGUAUAACUUAGAUAAAAUGGUAAUCACAGCUAGAAGCUCUACAAGUGUAACCACAACCACAAGCUCUACAUGUUUCUACAAGUGUACCACAAGCUCUACAAGUGCGCUUUGACAGCUUCAAGUGACCCUUCAUGACGGUAGGAAGAUGGUUUCUACCAGUCCCGAUUUAAGGAACACACCAGGCAUCACGGUCUUCCCGAUAGUGCUGACCAAGAUCUCAUCCUUCAUGGGCAUCAAAGUGAUGCAGCUGAAUGUGCCAGGAAAAGGAUUACCUGUCAACAGCCGAAUUUAUACAAGAUAUCAACCUUUCAGUGGUGCAGAAUAUCAUAGAGACACGUGCUUCAGCAUUACAGGGCAUGGAAACGAAAACACAUUUUUACAAAGGGCAUACAAUUAAGAAUUUACUAUCCCCAAAAUUAAAUUAGAAAAAACGAAAAAAACAAUGAAGUGUAAAAGAUGACAACCUUUGUGUUUCUACUUCCUACAAAUGACUAAGAUCCUCAAUAAUAUAGACCCGUUUGUUACAUACUGUACACGAUAUUAGGAGCAAAAUUCUAAUAAAUUCAUUACAGGCUUGCCAAUAAAAAUGACAAGUUACCUACAGACCAGGGAACAUAAAAUUGAGAGGUUGAGAUAAAGGUUUAUCAACUACAUCAUAUAUAUGCAUUAGAAACAAGCCCAUAUGGACAAAUGCAUCAUAAUUAUUAGUUGAAAGUAGGUGCUGCCUCAAAUUUAAAAACUCAACCAUUCAUCAUUAAGAGUAGCGAUUUAAUCUUACUAGACAUAGGGACAUGUACAACGUGAGAGCACACUACAGCCAGAACUUACACGCAAAGAUCCUGGAAUUUUAUGCACAACAACAGCUGAUUAGUCGCUUACUACCGUAGACGAGACGUCAUCCUCAACUACUAGCACACUACCUGCAUCAACCAGAAUAACUAGACUGAGAUUGCAUCAUGGAAACUAGAAUUGGCAAUCGAUUGUUCCACAGUAAUAGAAAAAAAAUACAUGGUCAGUACCUUGCCAUCGUGUUGAUUUGGGACAUCCUCCAUCUUAAAAACUGUCGUGCCAGGGAUGGUGGUGCCUAGUUUUCACUAUUUCUGUUCAUGCUUGCCUGUGCAAAAAAGCAAAAAUGAAUGGACUAUUUCCAUGACUUCUACGCUGAACCAGUUUUUCAUAUAUUUGCACGGGUGAAAAACUCAAGCAAAAGAAGAAAGCAUGCAUGCAAAUUAUUUCUCCCUUUUUAUCUACCUCUCUCUCUCUCCCUCUCUGUGAUUGCCUACACAAACACAUAUUAUUGCC